GAUGAACGCUGGCGGCGUGCCUAAUACAUGCAAGUCGAGCGAACGGACGAGAAGCUUGCUUCUCUGAUGUUAGCGGCGGACGGGUGAGUAACACGUGGAUAACCUACCUAUAAGACUGGGAUAACUUCGGGAAACCGGAGCUAAUACCGGAUAAUAUUUUGAACCGCAUGGUUCAAAAGUGAAAGACGGUCUUGCUGUCACUUAUAGAUGGAUCCGCGCUGCAUUAGCUAGUUGGUAAGGUAACGGCUUACCAAGGCAACGAUGCAUAGCCGACCUGAGAGGGUGAUCGGCCACACUGGAACUGAGACACGGUCCAGACUCCUACGGGAGGCAGCAGUAGGGAAUCUUCCGCAAUGGGCGAAAGCCUGACGGAGCAGCGCCGCGUGAGUGAUGAAGGUCUUCGGAUCGUAAAACUCUGUUAUUAGGGAAGAAUAUAUGUGUAAGUAACUGUGCACAUCUUGACGGUACCUAAUCAGAAAGCCACGGCUAACUACGUG
This 497-nucleotide ribosomal RNA is filed under the name uncultured bacterium. RNAcentral's name for it is "partial 16S ribosomal RNA". It matches the Rfam family "Bacterial small subunit ribosomal RNA", at positions 28 to 507 of the family's 1533-position model. The record is from RNAcentral.